Molecule: ribosomal RNA, 253 nt
Filed under: uncultured bacterium
Lineage: Bacteria
Description: partial 16S ribosomal RNA
Rfam family: Bacterial small subunit ribosomal RNA
Source: RNAcentral
UACGGAGGGUGCAAGCGUUAUCCGGAUUUACUGGGUUUAAAGGGUGCGUAGGUGGUUCUGUAAGUCAGUGGUGAAAUCUCCGAGCUUAACUGGAGAACUGCCAUUGAUACUGACAGGCUUGAGUACAGACGAGGUUGGCGGAAUUGAUUGUGUAGCGGUGAAAUGCAUAGAUACAAUCAAGAACUCCGAUUGCGUAGGCAGCUAACUAGGCUGUAACUGACGCUGAGGCACGAAAGCGUGGGGAGCGAACAGG